GAAGAGGAAGAGAGACCCGAGCUAGCACACUCAGUCCCCUUGCUAUGUGAUGUUCUUUACCAUCUCAGGACUCUGCACAGAGUCCCCAACAGCAAGAAGGCCCUCACCAGAUACAGCCCCUUGACCUGGGACUUCUCAGCCUCCAUAACCGAAUUGGCCCCUACAAGUCAAGUUGCAAACCCUGGGUCAAAGGGUGAAGUAGAAGGAAGCUGGAAACACAUAGUAUUUUAGAAGUUUUUCAGAGAAAUCACAAGGCAGGAACUUCUGCUCAGUUUGGAAGAAAGAGCAUUCCAUCAUGACCCUUGGACUGGGUGAGAGCAUCAUCCUUUAAUUAAUGUCUGCGCUGGGUCAGAUAACCAUCACUGUCUCCAGGUGCUGGAAUACAGAGAGGAACCAAACAGAUAAAAAUCCUUGCCUGCACGGAGCUUACCUUCAGCUAAGGGAGACAGUCAAAAACAAGUCAACACAUCUAAAGAAGCCACUGAUGAAACAGGCUCCCCCUUGGAAAGACCAUCUCACCUUCCAACCUCUCCAUCCUGCAGAGAGGAAAACCCAAGUUUGGCGUUGGCAGUCAGGUAAUUCAUCAGAUCUGGAAACCACCUCAUCAGCAUCCCCCUGGCCAACUGGAAGCAACCGUGACGUUGUGCUGAAUACACUUGCAGAGUCGUGCUGUGGUCUCUCCGAGCUCAUCACGGCACCUCCCUAUGCAGGAGUUUCAAUUCAAGGAUUUAGCCAAAUUUGGGUGCUAUUUCCCUUUUGUGGAGGGACUUUUCAUCACAAUGAGAAGGACGUCUUAGGACUCCAGGACUUUGAGAGAGAAAGUGUCUCUACAAGUCAAAGCAGGAAUAUCAGCCUUCUUACACUAGGACAACUCCAAAAUUGUGUGAUUGGCAAAUUGACAAUCAUCGAUUUGUUGACUGAACACCUGUUAGGUGUAAGGCACGGUGUCAUAUGCUUUCCUUGGGGCUUGCCUUCAAGCAGCUAACAGAAAUAAGAAGAAAACAGGUGAAAAAGACAGUGUGAUAAGGCCAUGGUGGUGGAUUGUGGAUGCCCUGCCCUGUAUCCACUUGGGAGAGAGCCUCUACAACAUGCUGGCAACUUCCCCCUCACUGAUUCAAAUGUUAAUCUCCUUUGGCAACACCCUCACAGACACACCCAGGAUCAAUACGUUGUAUCCUUUGAUCCAAUCAAGUUGCCACUCAGUAUUAACCAUGACACCUUCUAAGCCAUCAUCUCCUCCUAAUCCUCCCAUAACAAUGGGUAUAAGUUAUGAAGGUGGGUUAGAAACUAGUGCCUAUCCCUCACUAAGUUGCCAGAUGGAUUUAACAGCACCUCAAAGUCAACAUGCCCCAAGUCAAAGUCUUCUUUACCCAUGGAAUAAGCUGGCUUGCUACUUCCCUACAUCUCUGAAGGGCUCCACCAUUCCUCUAGCAACCAUGCUCUCAAAGCUCAGAGGGAGGAAAAGGAAAUGGAUCUAAAUGGAAUUCCAGGUCCCACGCUGGAUAUUUUCACACCUUACCUCAUUUAAUACAACAAGCAAGGAGGUAGACAAUAUUGUCUACCUUUGCAAAUGAGGAAACAGAGGCUUAGAGAAGUUAAAUAAUUUGCCUGAGAAUAAAGCUAAAAGUAGCUUUAAAAUACUAGAGCUGGGAUUGCAAGUUUGAUGCAAAGUUUGUGCUCUCUUCAUCCUUCACCAAGAUCUUUCAUUUUCCCUUUAAAUAUCUCUUAUGUCUGCAUUUCCCUUCCAUUCCCAUCACUAGCACUGUCCUCUAAUGCCCCACCCAGUGGGGAAGUCUCCAAUAGGUCCCCCUGCUUAUAACAGCCAAGAGGGUAGCUAUAAACUAGGUCCAAUAACAUGCUUCAUGUGAGGGAACUGAUGGACAGCUGUCUAAUUCAUAACCUCUGGCCUCAACGGAAUUUACAGUUCAGAGUCCAAAAUAGCAAGGAAGUGGUGGGAAGAAGGUGAGAGAAAAGGGUGGGAGGGUGAGAGAGGGGAGGGAGGGGAAUAAGGUGUGGGCAGUAGAGGGAAUCUGUCAGUCUCAUGGUUUGCCCUAGGAAACCUUCUGCUCAGCCCCAGCCUGCUUCUGGGCACUCCUCCUCACCCCUCCUUGCUGUCCAUAUGGGUUCAAUGUGAGUAACCACAAUUGUAGAGUGUGGCCAUCUUCUUCUGACAUGGUCCUAAAUAAACCUAACUGAGUAGCCAGAAGAAUCACUUCUAAGGUAAACAUCUGUAAACAUUGGUUAUAUUUAUUUUCAAUAUUACUGGUUAACAUUGUGGAGCUAUUACUGAUGGGCCAGACUCUGUGCUAGGCACAGACUUUCUAGGGAUUAUUUCAUUUAAUUCUCAUGGCAACCACCAUGCAUUUGCAGAUAGGCAAGUCAGGCUCACAAAAAUGUAUGCAGAGCUUCAGGGUUGUGAUGGGUAGAGCCAAACCCAUCUGCCCAACCCAAGGGCCCGUGCGCUCCAACCCUGCAUCGAACUGCCAACAUAGUACACCUUUUAGAAAAAGAUUCUUGUUGCAAAAGUACCAUAGGCAGUGUGUGUGUAAGGUCAUUGUAAAAGUGUAGAUAAGCAAGAAAGUGUUAUACCACCACUCAGAAGUAACCACUGUUAACAUGUUGGCUUAUCUGCUCUCAGGUGUUUCUGUGCCUGUACAUACUAUUCUUCUUGAAUAAAAACAGGAUUACACAGUGU
Molecule: long non-coding RNA, 2695 nt
Organism: Homo sapiens (human)
Lineage: Eukaryota; Metazoa; Chordata; Mammalia; Primates; Hominidae
Product: long intergenic non-protein coding RNA 2929
Source: Ensembl